ACUGUCCUUGUUGUAUAUUUCAAAAGUAUUUAGCUAGAACGUGCUUAAAAAAUGACCAAAGGACCACCACGACUGGGUAAAUAGGAUUAGAGAGAGUGUCUUGAUGAUUAUACACCUCUUGAGAUGACCACAGAGGAUUUGGCUCAGAUCUUCAAACAAAGCCUCAAGCAAGCAAAGGAUAGUGGAGCAACAGCCCCAUGAAGCAUAAAUCCUCUAGUUUUACUCAAUCAGAUAAGUUGUUCUUGCAGAUUUCUCAAGCUUUUUUCUGCUAUAUGUCCCAUCCCUUAUGCCCAAAUAUCCACAAGAAGAUUGUAACAAUUUGAGGAAAAAUCUAGAAGCUUUGUCAACUGAUGGUUAGUGAAAUAAAUAAGAAGACUCAACUCUGAAUGAUGGCAGUGUGGUGAAAAUGGAAGGUGAAGAGAAAUAUGCUCCAUAUUUCUGCAUAUCUUAAAUGUACCAGGAAGAAAGAUAUCAAUGGUGAAAUGACAGACAAUUCAAACUUUUAUUUCGCUUGUGUGGAAGACCAGACUUCUCAACACUUCUCACAAUAAUGUUUCACAUGCAUUUUAAAGAAAACAAUGAAUUGAAAACACGGGUUGGAGGAACUAAUCGUUGUUAAUAUAAAACAAUGGACUUCUAAAAAACAAUUCAGGUGCUCACUGGAAUCAUGAAUUAGAUUUGGACCCCACACGGAAGGGAAAUAACUGAAGUGUGGAAGGAGAUAGAUGGUCAUAGCCUGCAAGUAACCCUUCAUCACCACUGAAGGAAGCACAAAUCCUAUCCACUUACAAUCAUUUCAGGUUAGGCCAUCAGAAUGAUUACAAUAAGUUCUAUGACAUAAGAUUCAAAUUGCAUAGGAAAUAGAACAAACCUAAAGGUAGAUAAUAUAUGUAUUCAUGGUUUAAAAAGAAAACAAUC
Molecule: long non-coding RNA, 918 nt
Organism: Chinchilla lanigera (long-tailed chinchilla)
Lineage: Eukaryota; Metazoa; Chordata; Mammalia; Rodentia; Chinchillidae
Exons: 4
Source: RefSeq, a predicted model, not a curated record